GCAUCUCCCUUACACUGAGAAGUCAUCCGUGCAAGUCGGGUCGCCCUGA
This 49-nucleotide transfer RNA is filed under the name Enophrys bison (buffalo sculpin). RNAcentral describes it as "partial tRNA-Val". The record is from RNAcentral. Lineage: Eukaryota; Metazoa; Chordata; Actinopteri; Perciformes; Cottidae.